GCCUACGGGACGCAGCAGUGGGGAAUAUUGCACAAUGGGGGAAACCCUGAUGCAGCGACGCCGCGUGAAGGAAGAGGUAUCUCGGUAUGUAAACUUCUAUCAGCAGGGAAGAAAACAGACGGUACCUGACUAAGAAGCCCCGGCUAACUACGUGCCAGCAGCCGCGGUAAUACGUAGGGGGCAAGCGUUAUCCGGAUUUACUGGGUGUAAAGGGAGCGUAGACGGCGAUGCAAGUCUGAAGUGAAAGCCCGGGGCUCAACCCCGGGACUGCUUUGGAAACUGUAUGGCUGGAGUGCUGGAGAGGG
RNAcentral lists this ribosomal RNA (305 nucleotides) under uncultured bacterium. Its description in RNAcentral is "bacterial SSU rRNA". It matches the Rfam family "Bacterial small subunit ribosomal RNA", at positions 337 to 658 of the family's 1533-position model. The record is from RNAcentral.